AACGCUGCUUUAAGAAAUAAAGGAGUUGGACAGAAACUUUGAGACAGGUGCAAAAUCUAAAUCCUCUUUGGCAACUCAGAACUCAUUGUUUGGUAUGAGUCCUAAUACAGAUGAGAAGGAACAUG
Molecule: small nucleolar RNA, 125 nt
Organism: Suncus etruscus (white-toothed pygmy shrew)
Lineage: Eukaryota; Metazoa; Chordata; Mammalia; Eulipotyphla; Soricidae
Product: small nucleolar RNA SNORA40
Exons: 1
Source: RefSeq, a predicted model, not a curated record